CCCUCACGUUACUACCUCCGUCCUCUCGCCUCUUCAACUCUCUCUCUCUGGAGCACUCCCUCCUCCCAUGAUUUUGUGAUUCCAUACGCACUUAUAUAUAUGAAGAUAACAAUUUCUUCUAAAUUAUGUUGAUUUUUGUUACUCUUGAGUAAAAGAAAAGUAGACCUAGUGCUGCUAACUCGUUAUUUAUGUUAAUUGCAAUGACCAUUUUUAAAGAAGUGAUUUCUAUGAGCUGCAUACUAAUAUUUGAAUAGAUUCUGGAAAAAUAUGAGCUUUAUCCUGUAGUCUGCAAGAUUUCCCACUGAGUGUAAUGAAUUUUCAUCCUGGUAAUGAGUCAACAUCAGUAUAUCAGUGUUUGUAUUUUGUAUUUAAUUUACCUUAUUGCUUUUUAUAAAUUUAUUUAUUUUUAUCUAUAGGGAUUAAUUUUAUUGCUUUAAUUCUAGAAAUGUACAUAUUUGACACAUUUAAAAAGUAAUUGGGAAGUGGAAUGUAUCUGAAGUAAAAAUAAGAGUAGUGACAGAGUAAAACUAACUAUAUUCAAUUAUUUUCUUAUCUCAGAGAUAACUAUGAACAUUGCAUGCCAUUUUGAUGAUAUUUAGUCUCUUUUAUUUGGAGAGAAAUAACAAUGCUCUUCUCUGCUAUUACCACAGAAAUAAAACGCCUCUUCUCUAGGUCCCUCUACCUUCAUGGCAACAAAGACGUCCAGAUGACAGAUGGAGGAUCCUCUUGGUGUGGGCCUAAGAUGGCCUUUCAGGAGUAUGAAAUCCAAAUUCUGGCAUGUAGUGAAUUUCUGAGUUUCCUUCCAUUUCCUCUUGAGAGUGCAAACCAUAUAUUUCAUUAUGACAUGAGAUUGAGAUUGCUUAGCAGAAGACUUUUUCUUGUAUAUUCAUCACCUACAAGAGAAUCCCACAGAAGUUGUACCAGAAGUGUCACAGAUAAAUAUAACUGCAACAUUGCUAGAAAAUGA
RNAcentral lists this long non-coding RNA (967 nucleotides) under Coturnix japonica (Japanese quail). RNAcentral describes it as "lncRNA (ENSCJPG00005006049.1)". The record is from RNAcentral. Lineage: Eukaryota; Metazoa; Chordata; Aves; Galliformes; Phasianidae.